CGCGGGGUGGAGCAGCCUGGUAGCUCGUCGGGCUCAUAACCCGAAGGUCGCAGGUUCAAAUCCUGCCCCCGCAACCA
Molecule: transfer RNA, 77 nt
Filed under: Anoxybacteroides voinovskiense
Lineage: Bacteria; Bacillati; Bacillota; Bacilli; Caryophanales; Anoxybacillaceae
Also listed under: 21 other names
Description: Anoxybacillus voinovskiensis tRNA-Met
Rfam family: tRNA
About the family: Transfer RNA (tRNA) molecules are approximately 80 nucleotides in length.
Source: RNAcentral